AUGUAAUAAAUUGUAUGAGGGACAGUUUUCUUUCGUCACCGGUUUAUUUGCGGUUUGGGAAAGUUUUCCAACGUCGCGAAAUUGUUUUCUUCGGAAUUAAUUUAAUUUAUUUCAUGUUAGGAAAAUCGGAUUACUCAGAAAGAUCGAACCAUAAUGGAUUAUAGAUACUGACAUUUCUUAGCUGUUACGGAUUUCCGAUCAGUGAAAAUGGAAGGCGUUAACCAUUUGGACCCUUCUGGGAAGACGAUUGUUAAAGAUGUGGAAUCAGUGAUGCUGGCAUCCAACGGGGAGAAGCCUUUGUGUGGUGAAAAUGUCGUUGAACAGAAGUCAAUACAGGGGAAUAUUACUGAAUACAGAUGUGAGGUUUGUAGGAAAACCUUUUCUUCGCAACACGAAGUCUCCAUACACAAAGAAAUUCACGAGAAGAAGAAGAAGGUAAAACCAUAUCAGUGUGAAAUUUGUGGCAGAUCAUUCAAGCAGAAUUCUCACCUUGUCGUUCACAAAAGGAUUCAUACCGGGGAAAAGCCUUUCGGCUGUGAAAUCUGCGGGAAAACAUUCAUUAAGAAAUUGAACCUUGUCAUUCACCUCCGGAGCCAUACCGGCGAAAAACCGUUCCACUGUAGAACAUGUAGGAAAUCUUUCGUCUCCAAGAGUAAUUUAGCAAGGCAUGAACGGAUACACUCUGAAGGAAAUCCGUUAAACUGUGAAAUAUGUGGGAUAUCUUUUCAUCAUAUUAGUGAUUUAAAUACGCAUAAAGGAAAACACGAUGGAGAAGAACCAUUUCACUGUGAAAUAUGUGAGAAGCCUUUCGUCUCGAAUAAUCAUUUGAUACGGCACCGAAGGGUACAUACGGGAGAAAAACCUUCUUCUUGUGAUGUUUGUGGGAAAUCUUUUCUCGAUAGGAGUAAUUUAACAACUCAUAAAUUAAUACACAGCGGGGAGAAACGGUUUCAGUGUAAAAUGUGUGGGAAAUCUUUCACCCAAAAUAAUCAUCUUGUCGUUCAUAAGAGAAGGCAUACGGGAGAAAAGCCCUAUCACUGCGAAACCUGUGGGAAGGCCUUUGUGUCUAACAGUGAUUUAAAAACACAUAAAAUUACGCAUACGGGAGAAAGACGUUUCCGUUGCGAAACGUGUGGAAAAUGUUUUACUCAGAAGUCCAGCCUCGUCGUUCACAGAAAAAUCCACACGGGGGAAAAGCUGUUUCGUUGUGAAGUGUGCGGAAAGUCUUUCAUUAAUAAUUUUAAUUUUGUUAUCCACGUACGUAGUCACACCGGAGAAAGACCAUUCCGUUGUGAAACUUGCGGAAAGUCAUUUGUGUGUAAAAGUAAGUUAGUAACACACAUAAGGACUCACACGGGGGAAAAACCGUUUCACUGUGAAAUCUGUGGGAAAUUUUUUCUUGAUAGUAGUAACCUGACGAUACACAUAAGGAUACAUACUGGGGAAAAGCCUUAUCGUUGUAAGACUUGUGGGAAGUCAUUUCUUAAUAGUAGUAAUCUGACUACCCACAAAAGAAUUCACUCUGGAGAGAAACCUUUUCAGUGUGAAAUUUGUGGAAAAUCUUUCCGUGAUAGCCGUAAUUUAACACCUCACAAAAGAACACAUUUGAGGAAAAAAGUUUAGCUGAAAUUUGUGGAAAAUCUUUUUUGUGGCAGCUCUGACUUAACAAGUCACAAAAGAACAUGUGAAAAAAAAAAGUUUAACUAACAAAUUUGUGGAAAAUCUUUUUGUGACAGCUGUAACUUAAUACUUCACAAAAGAACACACUUAAAAAAAGAAGUUUAACUGUGAAAUUUGUGGGAAAACUUUGACUCUGAAAUCCUAUUUUGUAGUUUACAAAAAAGAAAUUAAAAAUACAUACUAAGAAAACCUCUAUCACUGUGAAAUAUGUUGGAAAUCUUCCCAUGAUACCUGUAAUAUAACAUCUCACCAAAGAAUCAUCAUCAACAUCGUUUAACGUCUGCUUUCCAUGCUAGCAUGGGUUGGACGAUUUGACUGAGGACUGGUGAACCAGAUGGCUGCACCAGGCUCCAGUCUUGAUUUGGCAGAGUUUCUACAGCUGGAUGCCCUUCCUAAUGCCAACCACUCUGAGAGUGUAGUGGGUGCUUUUACGUGUCGCCGGCACAGGAUUAUUAUACAUAAACAUUAGCAUCUCUAACCCUAUACACACACACACACAUACACAUCAUCAUCUUCAUCAUCGUUUAACGUCUGCUUUCAAUGCUGGCAUGGGUUGGACGAUUUUGACUGAGUACUGGUG
RNAcentral lists this unclassified non-coding RNA (2260 nucleotides) under Octopus sinensis (East Asian common octopus). RNAcentral describes it as "zinc finger protein 665-like, transcript variant X1". The record is from RNAcentral. Lineage: Eukaryota; Metazoa; Mollusca; Cephalopoda; Octopoda; Octopodidae.